RNAcentral lists this long non-coding RNA (2582 nucleotides) under Daphnia pulex (common water flea). RNAcentral describes it as "uncharacterized LOC124200772, transcript variant X1". Lineage: Eukaryota; Metazoa; Arthropoda; Branchiopoda; Diplostraca; Daphniidae. The record is from RNAcentral.
ACAACAAACUCGUCUAGCCAUGUUAUUUAAUAACAAGGUUUUACGCUGCAGUAACUGAAACAACGGACGAAAUGUCAACUGGAAAAUAACUGGCGAUCCGUCUAUGGAAUGAUGGACCUUUUUUAAAAAGAAACCGUCCUGGUUUCCCAACUGAAACGGAAUUUGUUGGUAAUCUCAGUGUUGCUAGAGCGCACGCGACUGGGGUGAUCAGCACCAUGACUGUUAAAUAACCGUGAGUACCAGAACCGAGUCAAGCAAUCUCCCGUUUAACAGACUUCGCUAUCAUUCGCUUCAAGCCUGGGGACACAAUUUUGAUUGUCGUAUCUCAACCAGCGAGCUUAACUAUUUCUCCCCAACACAUGGAUGCUUUUAUAUCAGAACUUUUCACGCGAGGAAUAUCCAAAGACAGCUUGUACAUUUUCUGUCAUUGUUUGGAGUCCAAGUUCAAUAAGUCUAAGAAAUACGAAACGAUUGUAAAAUGCGAGGACGCCAUCCGAGAAAACGUGACGCUAUGCGGGUAUGACCAGCAGCAAACGCAUACCUUUUAGCGAUGGUCAAUGCUAGUUUCCAGCUUGUCUUAUUUAAGAUGUAGAGCAGCGGAUCAAAAUAUCACCUAAAGGACGAAACACUAUUGAUUCCUCAAACAGGAUCUCCAACACAUAGGAAAAUCGAAAGGGAGGAAUUCGGGAACUUCGUUACUGUGUUGAGAGCCAGCUACAUUGAUGAUGCGAUUCGUUUGUCGAAAUGUCCCAUCUUCAUAUCCAAAGUGAAAAGACCUCUUUUUGUUUUUUUCAGUGGAGAAGUUGGGAUGGACGGUGGUGGUCUUAGAAGGAACUUCCUUUCGAAGAUCGUGGAUUAUGGUGUUCGUGUCUUUGAAAGAUUCGGUACGGAAGUUGGAUUGAAUACAGCAGAUGUAGACGACAUAUACUUCAUGCUUAGUUUCUCUUCAUCUCUUAGCCUCUCCCUUCUUAGCAAUGUCAAGAGAUGGUAUGGCGAUGGGACAUUUUUUAUAACACCAAAACUUUUCGACCAGGUGUUUGGUAUCCAUGCCUUCACCCGGCACGGUACCUUUACGAAGUAGGUCCCUCUUCUUACAGUUCUCAUGUCCGGGAAGAGGAAGAAAGAUUAUGAGGCGGUUCUAUUUUCUAUAAACCUCAUCACCUUCCAAAUUAAGAUGAAGACCGAGGCCGACAAAAUUUCCAUGAAGGCAAAACUCUUUUCUAAAAACAGGCAUUGCGGAGACUAAAUAAAGUUGCUGUGUCCAAGCAGAGUCAUCUGACAACUCUUUGGGACAACUAUAAUCGUGCCGACCAUCCACUUUCUUCUCUCCAAUUGCUGGAGGAACUUGGAAAAAUAACACAAAAGUUUUCAAAAGCUGACCUCAGAGCAAUAAGCGGAGCUAAGGAAGAUGAGCGAUCGGAUUAAACCCCGAAUGGCAAUUAUUUUUCAUUCAUAUUUUGUCUCGUAUUUUGUGUUCGUUUCUCGUCUCAUUUUAGCUACUGGUUAUGACUGAUGACUAGUAGUGAUGUAACCGCUCUCUGACUGUAUCUUUUUGAUCAGCAUCGAGCAGGAUCAUUAGUUCUGUGUACGCUUUCGACAUUUUUUUUGUAUAUUUAUUCAUUUAUUGAAAUUUGCCCCGUACAUCGCUAAAUUUAGGCCCGUCUGGCAGGGCCCGUAUGACAGGGCCCGUACGUUGGACAACCCCCGCAGGGAAAAGUUAAUGAAAGAAAGUAUAUGGCAUUUAAUUAGUCUAUUUUAUUAGUCUUGAACAUGUGAACGUCAAAACAUGUUUAGGCUUUUGACUACAACGUGGAUGUUUCCUUUUACAACUAUCCCAAUCUGAAUUUAUAAAGACUAGAAACGGAUUACUUUAAACAGCUUAAAAGGCAACUAGUUAACGCGAUUAGAAAUGCAAUGGAAACGGAAAGUCAUUUGAAACGCGAAGCAAAAUUACAAAAAUUUAAAGGACUUGAAUAUCUCCACAGAAAGUCAAAUGUCCAUGGUCAUCUCAAAAGUCCUAAGGUUUAGUCAGCAAAGCAAAAGAACCAAUUAAAGUUAACAGAUUUCGGAGAAUCGCACGCUCAAUUAAGUUAAAAAAAAGUCAAACGUUUCGUCGAUCCCAACUAAAAAAGUCAAACAAGGAACCACUUCAUCGUUUGAAGCUCCGGAAAUGUUUGUGUGAGAAGACAAAGCAGGAUGCGAAAAUGAAUCAACCAGUAAUCGUUCUAGAAGAAAACACAUUUUUCCUCAAAGACGAAACUGUAGCCAUACAGAUUAAAGUUAGCUGUUGUGCUGAAGCAAUGGCAUACUUAUGUGCGUUGCAUUACGUUUUUCAAUAUGCCUAACCUGAUGCCCUCCACACAGUUUUCGGCUUUUUUGGAAGGAUGUUGAAAAUUCCCCAAACACCUGUUACAGUCAAUGCAACGAUUGAAUUUUUUGGCUCGUGUAAAUGCUGUGAAUUUCUCUAUAGACAGAUUCUGUUGUGUGUGGCAUAUUUAUAAACCGAACAGAGAUCGAUAUAGAAGUGAAAGUAAAGUAGAUUUUUGUUAAAUAUUGAAUUUAAUACAAAAGUUUGUUUUUCU